AUUCUGAGCUCUUAAGCAUGCCAGGAGCAGAUGCCUGAUUUUACUGUGUGGCACUUUGUGGCCCAGAAACUUUCCAGAUUCUGUAUUUUCCUAUCUGGUUAAAUGUAACUGUAUUUACCUGUGUUUCAAAGCCUGAAUGCUUUAUUUAUUCUCUACUUAAUUUUCUUUUCCAGUUUUUCCUAACAAGCUUCCCUAGAUUUACUUGUUCUCACUUCCUAGACGCUAUUUGUAUUCUUCCUUCUUCUCUAGUUCAUUGGAAAUUUCUGCUUCUUUGAGACUGAGGUUAUAUUCCACUUCUUCUGACUACACCACCACCAUCAAUCUCCUUCUCUGAACUCUUGGAUCAUUACUUCAACCUGAAACAACUCAUCAGGCAGAAUAGUUGCCUACUGCCCCAACCCCACCAAAUGUUCCAGCACCUCUGAUAUUACCUCACAUGGCAAGAGGGCUUUGAAGAUGUGAUUGAGUCAAGGAUCUUGAAUGGGGAGAUUAUCCUGAAUUAUUCAGCUGGACCCAGUGUAAUCACAAAGGUUUUUCAAAGAUGGAAGAGAGGCAGAAGAGCCAGAAAAGGAUAUGUGACAAUGGAGUCAGUGUCAGAGUUGGAGUGACGUGAUGUGAGAAGGAUUCAACCUGCUGUUUCUGGCUUUGAGGAUGAAAGAAGGGGCCAUGAGCCAAGCAAUACAGGUGGCUUCUUUCAAGAAGUUGGAAAAGGUAGAGGAGAACGUCGCAGAGAAAAAGGGAAGGAAAAUACACCUUUGGAUUGUUGGCAUGCAUUUGCACACAGAGGAAAGACCAAAAAAGGAUAAAACACACCAAAGUUUGUUCAAUCCAGCCAGUCCCCAGCAAAGCCCUAAAAUAAUGAAUUUAUUUUCUGGGUAUUGGUUCCAGGUUCACCUGUGCAUACUAAAACCCAGGCAUACUCAAAUCCCAGAGUUGACUCUGAAGCAUCUGAGGAUAGGAAAAGUCAGCUCUCCUUAUACAGGAAACAUUGCAGCGUUAUAAGAGAAAUUAUAGACUAUUUGUUGAAGCUCAGCAUGUCCAUCUCCCUGCUUUGAAGAAGGAUGUUGGGAACUGACUGUAAGGAAGACAGGAUUGGAGAACCAGGUUUAGAAGAGAAAAGGCAGUGCCAGAAGUUUUUGAUUGGAGAAAACUACAGGGUAAUGUUGCACAAGAACCAUUGCUGGUAAGAAUGAACUCUCUUUCUUUCCUCUUUCCAUUGUCAUCCUUAUCAAGACUUAAUGUUCUGAGAGAACAUGGCCAAAUUCAGGCCAGGAGUUUGUUCCUUAGUUGUGCUAGUAUCGUGGGUGGGAGGACUUGAAAGAAAAAGUCUGAAAGGAUUUUCUUAGCUUCAAGUAAACACCAAAGCAGUUGAGGAACUCUGAAGAAAUGUCUGGAUAUUGCGUAGUUUGAACAAAUGAUAAGUAUCAGCAGUUACACUUACUUGUUCACA
Molecule: long non-coding RNA, 1450 nt
Filed under: Homo sapiens (human)
Lineage: Eukaryota; Metazoa; Chordata; Mammalia; Primates; Hominidae
Description: non-protein coding lnc-NBN-1:34
Source: RNAcentral